GAUGAACGCUGGCGGCGUGCCUAAUACAUGCAAGUCGAGCGAACAGACGAGGAGCUUGCUCCUCUGACGUUAGCGGCGGACGGGUGAGUAACACGUGGAUAACCUACCUAUAAGACUGGGAUAACUUCGGGAAACCGGAGCUAAUACCGGAUAAUAUAUUGAACCGCAUGGUUCAAUAGUGAAAGACGGUUUUGCUGUCACUUAUAGAUGGAUCCGCGCCGCAUUAGCUAGUUGGUAAGGUAACGGCUUACCAAGGCAACGAUGCGUAGCUGACCUGAGAGGGUGAUCAGCCACACUGGAACUGAGACACGGUCCAGACUCCUACGGGAGGCAGCAGUGGGGAAUCUUCGGCAAUGGGCGAAAGCCUGACGGAGCAAUGCCGCGUGAGUGAUGAAGGUCUUCGGAUCGUAAAACACUGUUAGUAGGGAAGAACAAAUGUGUAAGUAACUAUGCACGUCUUGACGGUACCUAAUCAGAAAGCCACGGCUAACUACGUG
RNAcentral lists this ribosomal RNA (497 nucleotides) under uncultured bacterium. RNAcentral's name for it is "partial 16S ribosomal RNA". It matches the Rfam family "Bacterial small subunit ribosomal RNA", at positions 28 to 507 of the family's 1533-position model. The record is from RNAcentral.